UGUAAAUAUUGAAUAUUCCUCAGCCUAUGUAUUAAUCAGGCAUUUUUCAUUUGACAAUUAAGGGGAGAUAACUCACAUUUUAUGAUGACAAAGAAUGGGAGAUAACUCAUGUUGUCUGUAGGCAAAGAUGGGGAGAUAACCCAUGAUGUCGUAGGCUGAGAUGGGGAUAACUCUACUUGUCUGUAGGCAAAGAUGGGGAGUUAACUCUACUUGACUUGACUGCAAAGACAGAGUUAAUUUUUUUGUUUUGUCAGAAUAAAGGUUUCUCUUUAAAAGAGAUGAGUUUUAAAAUUUGUCAACAGAAAACCAGUGAUAUACAUGUAUAUGUUGUUUUUGUGCUGUGUGCAAAAUUUGUUACGAUUAUGUUUUUAAAAUCCAAUUGUGCCAUGCUAAUUUAGACACAAGUUUCUGAUUGCAAGUUAUGCCCAGUAUGUAUUACAAGAUGCAUGACAAAUUUUAUUUCUGAAUUUGUUUAACAAUUUUCAUGCAUAGAAUAUGGAAUUAUUUUUAUGUGUUUUGAAAUUGGAAUUAUCAAAAUCAUUUAAAAUAGUGAAAGGUUUGAACAGAAUAUAUAUCAGUCAAAUCCAAUCAAGUAUUUUUCUUAUUUAAUCUUUGCUCCCCUAUUGAUGUGGGAAAUUUGGUGUUUCUAAAACGAUUUUUUUUUUUAAUGAUUCAUAUGGAUUGAAAUUUUAAUUAAAUUUGAUUUCUAAUAAUGUGCAUAAAUUAUCAUUCUUGGGAUGUCAUUAUUUGGGGAUUUCGUAAGUUAAGGUGAACCACAAAUUUACAGGUUCAAGGAAGUACAAAUUUUCAAAAGGCUUGUGAGCAAAAUUUUGCAAAUCCACAAAUCAAAUUCCAUAAAAUAAAAAUUGUUGCUCAAAGCCAUGAAAACUCGAAACUCAAGAAAAUAAAUAAAUCUAAAACUGUUCUCAAAUUAUGUGUCCUCCUCUUUUUUUCCUGUACAAAUAGCUCAACAGUGUACUUAUUAAUCAAAGUAUUAUUUCGUGAUGUGAUAUUGUGUAUUAUAGAUGGGCAGUAUAGAGUUAUGUUUAUAGAGAAGUGAUAUUGUAUAUUAUAGACGGGCAGUAUAGAGAUAUGUUUUUGUUAUGGCUAGUUUACUGUGAUCAUUGUGUAGACAGAUUGUUUAUGACUUUACAGUUUGUGUAAUGGUCUAGAAAUGAUAGAGUUUUUGUCCUGAACAUGCAUGUAAUAUUUGCAACUGGACGUUAAGCAACCUACAUAUUGUGAUAUAUCAGGAAGGAACCGCCACAUUCCAUUGUGUGUUAUGAAGAAAUAUGUUUUCACUGUUCUCCUAUUUGAUGUUGAUAUCCUAGUAAAGGGCCCUUUUCUUUCAUAAUCAGACAAUAAAAGGGCAAGAACCUCAGCGAAAUUCACUUUAAAUCAUUUAUAAUGUGUAUUUCCUCAAAGAAAAUGCUUUUGUUUACUGAUAGAAGUUGAACAGUUUAAAGCCAUUAUCAGGGCCAAUUUCAAGAGUUCUAAAUUUUUCAGAUUUUUACCUGAAAUAUUUGAUUUAUUUAGAUCUAAUUUGCUGACGACUGGUUGCUGGAAUUAUUGAAUCAAAAUGAUCUGAGCAGCUUAUAGAUUUUAAAUAUCAAGAGAUCUGAUUGGUCAAUAACUUUGAAUUUUUGAAAUCUGAUUGGCUUAGAAAUUGUAAUGCUUGCUGACCUAUUGAUGAAUGAAUCUCCAGUUUGAAUAGUUAUGUACUAAUUAGUAAAUGAAAUGUCCAGAAAAUUGAGAAUGGAAAUGGGGAGUAUGUCUAAAAGACAAUUUUGAAUAAGAAAUCCUAGAAAAAUUUAACUUAUUGUAGAGUAAAUGUUGAAAUUUUUAAUAAAAGUCUUAGACCUUACACACUGUAUAAUAAUUGAAAUAUUAGAGCUUAUUAUAAUUGUAGAUUGUGUCAUGUUUUUUUUUUUUUUAUCACAGAUCAUUCCAGAUAUAGGCAUUAUUUAUGUUUAAUCAAACAUUAUUCAUGUGUAUAGUACAACAAACAUAGUAACUCAUUAUUCAUUUUUAAGAGAAUUUUGAAAAACAGGGUGAAUUAAUGUAUAAUAAAGCGAGAAUUAGUUAAAAUGAAAUAAAUGAGAAUGAUUUUGAUGCAUUAAAACCUUUCUGGCUGUGGUGCAUGUUCCAAGACCACUCUUUAUUGGGGUUGGUGUUUUUAAAGUAUUUCACUAUAUAGUUUAGUACCACAUUAGGUUUAAAAUUGAAUUACUUUCAAUUGGCAUUAUGAAAAGCAUUAUAAAAAUGGAUGCCAAAAACGAGGAAGAAAUUUCAUGAUUAGUGAUUGAAUUAGUAUGUUUUCUUCAUUUUGAAAAUGUGCUUUUGUGUUGGCAUUUUGCUUUGAAAGAUCCGAAUUAAUAAGUAUUUAUAAUGGGUAUCUUCAGAACUUCUUGUAAAUGAAAAAUAAUGUAAACCAUCUAUUAUUGGAAAAGUCCAUUUAAACUAGAACUUUCAUACCUGGCUGCCUUUUUAUAUUGACUUUGAAACAUUUCUGUAUAAAGACUUUUUUUGGUGGUGUUCUAGGGUAAAUAUUGCUCUUUCCCAUUUGAGAGGUUAUUUUAUUUAAUAAUAUGAUCCUACAGCCACUUAUCAAACCACAUUAGACAGAUUUAAUACAAGCUACAUAUAUGGUUAAUGCAUACACUUUUUACAUUUACAUGCACUACUCCUGAGGUUUCUUAGGUUUGGUACCUACCCCCCUUUCAAAAAUCAUAAAACUGCAUCUGACCACAAUCACUUGUAUUAUGCUAAUGGUUAAUAUUAUUAUAUUUUAGUUAAUAUGCUAAUAAGACAGGAAAUUAUAUCGACAGUUGUGUAUUGUUAUCGUUGUUGUUUUUAGACAACUUUGUUUAUUAAAUGUCAC
This 2881-nucleotide long non-coding RNA is filed under the name Mytilus galloprovincialis (Mediterranean mussel). Lineage: Eukaryota; Metazoa; Mollusca; Bivalvia; Mytilida; Mytilidae. The record is from RNAcentral.